UGUUGAUAUUGUACUAUUUAAGAUAAGAAGAUGUGGUAUGAUUGACAAUGAGAUGUUCAAAUGAAGCGAGUUUCAGCAAUUUAGGUCCACCUACACCUAUAACAAUGAACAAAAUCUGUACCGUAAAGUCAACUAUAUAAACCCCGAUAUGACAAAAUAUAAAAUAAUUUAAACGAAAAAUAAAAUGCCCUACUUAUAACACCAAUAUAAUCGAAAAUUGAAGACCGAAAGCAACUAUCGUCGACCACUAGAUAAAAAGCAUAAAAUUUGGGACAGGCAAAUAUACAAUUGGAGGGGUACAAAAACUUUGUGGGCGUUUAACCCUUCCAUAAACUGGCACAGCACACUAUACGAUCAGACUGUAAAAUAUCAGAUGGGAAGGCUUGACUUAUCAGAUCGACACGAAAAAUAAAAGAAAAAACAGAAAGACGAAAAACAC
This 439-nucleotide long non-coding RNA is filed under the name Mytilus galloprovincialis (Mediterranean mussel). Lineage: Eukaryota; Metazoa; Mollusca; Bivalvia; Mytilida; Mytilidae. The record is from RNAcentral.